CGGGCAGUGCCUCAGUGGUAGAGCUCCCGCUUCGUAUGCGGGAAGGCCUGGAUUCGAUUCGCGGCUGCUCAC
This 72-nucleotide transfer RNA is filed under the name Toxocara canis (dog roundworm). It matches the Rfam family "tRNA". Rfam says of the family: Transfer RNA (tRNA) molecules are approximately 80 nucleotides in length. Their secondary structure includes four short double-helical elements and three loops (D, anti-codon, and T loops). Lineage: Eukaryota; Metazoa; Nematoda; Chromadorea; Rhabditida; Toxocaridae. The record is from Rfam by way of RNAcentral.